CCUACGGGCGGCAGCAGUGGGGAAUAUUGGACAAUGGGGGCAACCCUGAUCCAGCCAUGCCGCGUGUGUGAAGAAGGCCCUCGGGUUGUAAAGCACUUUCAGUGAGGAAGAACGCCUGGUGGUUAAUACCCAUCAGGAAAGACAUCACUCACAGAAGAAGCACCGGCUAACUCCGUGCCAGCAGCCGCGGUAAUACGGAGGGUGCGAGCGUUAAUCGGAAUUACUGGGCGUAAAGCGCGCGUAGGUGGCUUGAUAAGCCGGUUGUGAAAGCCCCGGGCUCAACCUGGGAACGGCAUCCGGAACUGUCAAGCUAGAGUGCAGGAGAGGAAGGUAGAAUUCCCGGUGUAGCGGUGAAAUGCGUAGAGAUCGGGAGGAAUACCAGUGGCGAAGGCGGCCUUCUGGACUGACACUGACACUGAGGUGCGAAAGCGUGGGUAGCAAACAGGAUUAGUACCCUAGUAGUC
RNAcentral lists this ribosomal RNA (464 nucleotides) under Vreelandella stevensii. RNAcentral's name for it is "partial 16S ribosomal RNA". It matches the Rfam family "Bacterial small subunit ribosomal RNA", at positions 338 to 795 of the family's 1533-position model. Lineage: Bacteria; Pseudomonadati; Pseudomonadota; Gammaproteobacteria; Oceanospirillales; Halomonadaceae. The record is from RNAcentral.